CGAAUGAGGCUAGUACAAAUCACCAGAAUUUGUGAUGCGAUAACACUUAUGUUCAUUGAUAGUCGGUUGAGAAAAGGAAGUAUUUAUAAGAAUAAGCCGUACAAUUUUGAAUAAUAAUUUGUUUAUGACAAUUACUACAGAUAAUGGCGUAUUACAAUGGUUUUUCAGUUUCAUUAUUAAUAUUAGUCUGUAGUUUCACUUUUACUUUCUGUAUGAAUAAUGAAAUUGUGAAUGACAAAAAAGUGGCAAGUGCUAGGGUAGAGAGUUGUGGUGGAUGACGUUUGAAUCGUCUACCGGAAGUGAAACGGUUUAUUUUCACUGACAUUCCAUUGUUCCAUAAUGUGGAGUUUAAACAAAUCUCGGGAGCAACACCCGAAAUGAUCUUCUUGAAUAAAGCAGGUCAGGAGAUUGAGAGGAUUGAUUUGAGUGAAAAGAACCAGAAAGAAUGUCAAAAACUUUUACACGACCGAGGUUUCUAUCUCAAAAAACAUGAGAAUGAAGAAGUCCCUCCUGAAUUCAAGGAUGCACCAUACACUAGAAAAGAAACAGAAUUAUAAAUAUUUAUGCUUUAUUUAAUAUAAUUCUUAGCUUUGUUUUCACACCAAUCUUUAAUUUUUUUAUCAAAGAAAUUCCAUUUGAUUUUAUCUGAGAUGUUAAAUAUUUUUCUUUGUACCUAACAGUUGAACAAUGAAAAGGUAUUUUUUUUAUUUCUAAAAGUUGUGUAAAUAUUCCUAAACUGAAGCUAAAACAAUAAGUUCUCUAACUCUUAGAAAAAAACGAAAUUCAAUAAUAUUCUGUAUCUUUCAUUCACCAUCUAAUUUUAAUUUGUUUUGUUGGUGUUAAAACGAUUCCUGUCCUUGGGAGAGAGAGAAAAAAAGCAUUAACACACUUCUUGUCAUCAUAAAAUAGUUGUAAUAUUUUAUAAUAACCAGGUUACAGUUUGAAUACAAGGGAACUGAAGAUGAAUUUUAAUGAAACUAUGAGAGAGCUUUUUAUUUUCAAUAAAGUAUUUGAAAAUCAUUUUUAUAUUUAAUGUACAUGGGCAACUAGGCUUAAGAUUUUAUAUAGUUAUAAUUGCGUAAACUAUCAACUAGGCUUAAGAUUUUAUAUAGUUAUAAUUGCAUAAACUAUCGUAAGUAUUAACUUUUUAUAUCUAGUAAGUUUCUAAUCUAAGAAAUGCAUUAAAAAUUAUGUUUUCAUAGUGUGUUAAAGUUUUUUUUCUCUGACUUUCGUUUACUUGGCUGGUUACAAAAAGCAUUUUUUAAUUUCUGUUAUAUUUCGUUCAGUGUGCUCAUUGACCAAUCUGUUCCCAUAGACAUUGUGAUUUAUGAGUAUACAACUCUAUGUUAUUUUUUCAAUUGAGUCUUUAGAAAGCUAUUAACAAACUUCAAUUAUUUCUAUAACAGAAAAAUGCAUCCCACUAUUACAUUUAGAAACAUUUUAAGAGAAAAAAAAAACUAAUGUUACAGAAAAUGUCAGAUAAGACCACAGAUGUCAUUGGGAAAAAACACUUUUUCAUAAGACACUGUUGUUUAAAACUGGCAGUUAAUUAAGUUAUUUUUUCUUCAUUUUUUAUGAAGAUUUUCACUUUUUGUCAACCUUCAAUGUCGCUUUAUAAAUAAUGGUAACAUUGGCUGUUUAUCCUGCUAUUAUAUUCAGUUCUUUAAAUAUUUUUUUAAGCAAGCAAAAUUAAGAUUAAUUAAUUGUUAAACAAUUCACAUUUAGGUUUUUAAAGUAAUUUUUAGUGACAGAAUAUUGUUUUGUAUUUUUUUAUGGUAUAUAAAACUAAGAAGACAGAUAAUUAUUGCUGUUUAUGAGAACGUAAAAUGAAUAGUCAAAAAGUAAAUGGAUAAAAGAAUUAUUUCUCAGACAUUGAUAAUUACUUCUAUCUCUAAUCUUUAUCUUUGUAAACUGAAGAUUGUAAUGGUAACUAGUGUUGAUGACUUAGCUCUAACAGGAUAAUACAUUUUUUCUUUUGUUUACUCACGUUGGCAGGUUUUUUUUUUAUUAUUAGCUCUUACUUUUUUUAAAUUAUAACUCUCAUUUUUAAGCCUGCCCUUUCUCUCUCUCGACUGAGCACAGUAUGAAUGUUAUUACCGUUAGUAUAAUACUUUUCGUGUAGUUUAAUAUAGGAAGAACUAACUGAUCUCAAAGUUCAAGCCGUUAUUGUUGUGAAUUUAUGAAACUACAGACUGAAAAUGGUAAGGUCUGUGGUGGAUAUUUUGUCAUGAUGAAAUGGUUUUAUAAGUGAGAUGGCUAGUCUCGGAUAGUAUUAUAACAAAUCAUUGUUCGUGUCAGUACUAGUGAUUAUUCGGUAUGAUAAUGUAUUAUAACUUCCUGCUAAUGUUACAAUAAAUUCCAUUUCCUUA
Molecule: unclassified non-coding RNA, 2369 nt
Filed under: Limulus polyphemus (Atlantic horseshoe crab)
Lineage: Eukaryota; Metazoa; Arthropoda; Merostomata; Xiphosura; Limulidae
Description: selenoprotein M-like, transcript variant X1
Source: RNAcentral